Molecule: long non-coding RNA, 151 nt
Organism: Sapajus apella (tufted capuchin)
Lineage: Eukaryota; Metazoa; Chordata; Mammalia; Primates; Cebidae
Exons: 2
Source: RefSeq, a predicted model, not a curated record
CUGCACUCAUUAUAAGGCAGCAUUUUCAAAUAAAUUUACCAAAAAGCUAUUUUAUAUGGUAUAUAUGCCACAAGAAAAGUAUCAGGUGAAAAAUAUCUCUACAUGCAAACAGAAUACAAAAUGGGAAAUUAUAUAUUUCUGAUGACAGAAC